Molecule: ribosomal RNA, 460 nt
Filed under: uncultured bacterium
Lineage: Bacteria
Description: partial 16S ribosomal RNA
Rfam family: Bacterial small subunit ribosomal RNA
Source: RNAcentral
CCUACGGGUGGCUGCAGUGAGGAAUAUUGGUCAAUGGGCGUAAGCCUGAACCAGCCAAGUCGCGUGAGGGAUGAAGGUUCUAUGGAUCGUAAACCUCUUUUAUAAGGGAAUAAAGUGUGGGACGUGUCCUAUUUUGUAUGUACCUUAUGAAUAAGGAUCGGCUAACUCCGUGCCAGCAGCCGCGGUAAUACGGAGGAUCAGGGCGUUAUCCGGAUUUAUUGGGUUUAAAGGGUACGUAGGCGGCCUUUUAAGUUAGCGGUGAAAGUCUGGGGCUCAACAUGAGAAUUGCCGGUGAAACUGGGGGGCUUGAGUAUGUUUGAGGCAGGCGGAAUGCGAGGUGUAGCGGUGAAAUGCUUAGAUAUCACGCAGAACCCCGAUUGCGAAGGCAGCCUGCCAGGCCAUGACUGACGCUGAUGCACGAAAGCGUGGGGAUCAAACAGGAUUAGAUACCCCAGUGGUC